This 65-nucleotide transfer RNA is filed under the name Mediterraneibacter gnavus. It matches the Rfam family "tRNA", at positions 6 to 65 of the family's 71-position model. From Rfam's summary of the family: Transfer RNA (tRNA) molecules are approximately 80 nucleotides in length. Their secondary structure includes four short double-helical elements and three loops (D, anti-codon, and T loops). Lineage: Bacteria; Bacillati; Bacillota; Clostridia; Lachnospirales; Lachnospiraceae. The record is from RNAcentral. RNAcentral also lists the same sequence under 4 other names.
GCGUGUAGCUCAGUUGGUAGAGCACUUGACUUUUAAUCAAGUUGUCCGGGGUUCGAAUCCCCGCA